Long non-coding RNA from Populus euphratica (Euphrates poplar), 202 nucleotides. RefSeq lists it as uncharacterized. NCBI's taxonomy places the organism in Eukaryota, Viridiplantae, Streptophyta, Magnoliopsida, Malpighiales, Salicaceae. The transcript has 2 exons. The record is from RefSeq and is a predicted model, not a curated record.
ACCAUUAUGGAGUGUUACAGUAGAAAAACAAGCUCAACAACAAGAGAAAAACCAUCCAUGGAAUUAUGGAAACGAAAAGGUGAGACAUACAUGGAAUAUUUCGCAUCCAAAAGCAUAAUAUAGGCUACUUGUUCAUCAUUUUCUCCCUCACACCUUUCAUAUGGAGUAGCAACUUAUCAUUGUCGGGAAUGUUUUCUUUAAU